AAAGUAAAUACUUAUAUUAACAUAAGUAUACAUUUGUGCUAACAAAUGUACAUUUUAUACUUAUUAAAAGUAACUAUAAUCUUAAUAAAAAAAGUAGUUAUUCAUAUGAAGAAAUGUAGUAUUUCAAAAUUAUUACUUUUUUCACGAAAAUUAUUAUUUUUACUCACGAAAUCUAAUAAUUUUAAUUAUUUGAUUAAGUAAUUGUAGUUGUAAUGAAAAAUAACCAUUGAUGUGAAUAAAGAUAAUAUUAAAAAAAAUGAAGAAAAUAGAAAAAAAAUUAAAAAGU
RNAcentral lists this long non-coding RNA (286 nucleotides) under Salvia miltiorrhiza (redroot sage). Its description in RNAcentral is "long non-coding RNA (SMIL_LNC010199)". The record is from RNAcentral. Lineage: Eukaryota; Viridiplantae; Streptophyta; Magnoliopsida; Lamiales; Lamiaceae.